RNAcentral lists this small RNA (150 nucleotides) under Pseudomonas asplenii. RNAcentral describes it as "PrrF RNA". It matches the Rfam family "PrrF RNA". Rfam says of the family: PrrF RNA is a small RNA involved in iron homeostasis and is found exclusively in Pseudomonas species. Their expression is induced under iron limitation by the ferric uptake regulator (Fur) and they act to negatively regulate several genes including sodB and sdh. Lineage: Bacteria; Pseudomonadati; Pseudomonadota; Gammaproteobacteria; Pseudomonadales; Pseudomonadaceae. The record is from RNAcentral.
UUGACUUAGAAAUGAGAAUCGUUAUGAUUAUCACAACUGAUCGCGAGAUCGGUUGGAUUCUCUGGAGGCCCUUGGUUCGGACUCUUCAGAUUAUCUCCUCAUCAGGCUAAUCACGGUUAUUGACCCGGCUUUUUGCCGGGUCUUUUUUUG